UUAUUAAACGUUACUUCGGUAACUUAAUAUCCUCAACACCUGUGCAUCUUGUCGCUCCGGCGAUAUCAUACAAACAUCAGUGUAAAGAAUGUAUUAUAUUAUAACAAAUACAACUUUCAACAACGGAUCUCUUGGCUCUCGCAUCGAUGAAGAACGCAGCGAAAUGCGAUAAGUAAUGUGAAUUGCAGAAUUCAGUGAAUCAUCGAAUCUUUGAACGCACAUUGCGCCUUUUGGUAUUCCGAAAGGCAUGCCUGUUUGAGUGUCAUAAGACCUCUCAUACCUAGUUUUCUAUGUAUGAGCUUUGGACGCUGCCAUCCGUGGCUCGUCUUAAAUGUCUAAGUGGAAUGCGUAAUAAGUUUUCGCUCCCUCCACUCUAAUAACUUUUAUGUUAGACCUCAAAUCAGGUAGGACUACCCGCUGAACUUAAGCAUAUCAAUAAGCGGAGGAA
This is a ribosomal RNA of 448 nucleotides. The stretch from base 112 to 265 matches the Rfam family "5.8S ribosomal RNA".